RNAcentral lists this ribosomal RNA (433 nucleotides) under uncultured bacterium. RNAcentral's name for it is "partial 16S ribosomal RNA". It matches the Rfam family "Bacterial small subunit ribosomal RNA", at positions 29 to 507 of the family's 1533-position model. The record is from RNAcentral.
AGCGAACGCUGGCGGCAGGCUUAACACAUGCAAGUCGAGCGGGCACUUCGGUGUCAGCGGCAGACGGGUGAGUAACACGUGGGAACGUACCCUUUGGUUCGGAAUAACGCUGGGAAACUAGCGCUAAUACCGGAUACGCCCUUUUGGGGAAAGGCUUGCUGCCGAAGGAUCGGCCCGCGUCUGAUUAGCUAGUUGGUGGGGUAAUGGCCUACCAAGGCGACGAUCAGUGGCUGGUCUGAGAGGAUGAUCAGCCACACUGGGACUGAGACACGGCCCAGACUCCUACGGGAGGCAGCAGUGGGGAAUAUUGGACAAUGGGCGCAAGCCUGAUCCAGCCAUGCCGCGUGAGUGAUGAAGGCCUUAGGGUUGUAAAGCUCUUUUGUCCGGGACGAUAAUGACGGUACCGGAAGAAUAAGCCCCGGCUAACUUCGUG